AAUCGUGGUCAAUGGCGGCAACCCUGAUCCAUCCAGCCUGCGGGUGCGAUGAAGGCUUCCGGAGUGUAAAGCCCUUUUCGCAGGGAAGAAAAGGCUCUGGCUAAUACCCGGAGCUGCUGACGUUACCUGCAGACUAAGCACCAGCUAACUAUGUACCUGCAGCCGCGGUAAUACGUAGGGUGCAAGCGUUAAUCGGAAUUAAUGGGCGUAAAGCGUGCGCAGGCGGUUCGGCAAGAAGGAUGUGAAAUCCCAGGGCUUAACCUUGGAACUGCAUUCUUAACGGCCGGGCUAGAGUAUGUCAGAGGGGGGUAGAAUUCCGCGUGUAGCAGUGAAAUGCGUAGAGAUGCGGAGGAAUACCGAUGGCGAAGGCAGCCCCCUGGGAUAAUACUGACGCUCAUGCACGAAAGCGUGGGGAGCAAAC
RNAcentral lists this ribosomal RNA (421 nucleotides) under uncultured bacterium. RNAcentral describes it as "partial 16S ribosomal RNA". It matches the Rfam family "Bacterial small subunit ribosomal RNA", at positions 360 to 773 of the family's 1533-position model. The record is from RNAcentral.